GCAAACCUUGCACUUGCUAAGAGAAGCUAAUGCCGAGAGAACAAAAGCUGCAGAUGGUUGGUGAGCAAAUGUAAGGCUCUUCUUGGCAGACUGGGGAUAUCAGAGGCCCACACACACAGGUUGUAAAGAGAAAAGCAACUUGUAUUCUUUAAGAUUUUCAACAGAAAAAGCUUCAGUGAUGGUGGAAGCUGCAGAAAUAAUGUUGGGAAUGCAUUAUUGGAUGCAAAUUUUGGAGAAAUGUUAGGAGGUCGGUCAUCUACCUAUCUAUCCACUUUAUGAAGAAUAUUGUGCCUUCUACGCUUUGGACUUGUGGUGACUUAUCCAAGAUCACCAGAAAAGGUAGAAGAAAGAUGAUCCUUGACACCUACUCAGCUCAUAAGGUGUUAUUAAAGUAAAGUUAACGUGGUAUGAAAGAGAAUUUUUGGUAUCUUAAAAACAGAUUGUAUCUAACUAAAAGUCUCUAUUACUGUUAGGUCAUUGCUGUUGACUU
Non-coding RNA from Odocoileus virginianus texanus, 490 nucleotides. Lineage: Eukaryota; Metazoa; Chordata; Mammalia; Artiodactyla; Cervidae. The record is from RefSeq and is a predicted model, not a curated record.